Non-coding RNA from Chlorocebus sabaeus (green monkey), 1415 nucleotides. The record is from RefSeq and is a predicted model, not a curated record. Lineage: Eukaryota; Metazoa; Chordata; Mammalia; Primates; Cercopithecidae.
ACAGCCUCCGGAGGUCUUGACGACAUGUGCCCAAGGUGGUCGGGACACAGCUUGGUUUUAUACAUUUUAGGGAGACAGGAGACAUCAAUAUGUGUAAGACGAAUGUUGGUUCCAUCGGGAAAGGCGGGACAAGUUGAAGCAGGGAGGGGAUUUCCAGGUCACAGGUAGGUGAGAGACAAACUGUUGUAUUCUUUUGGGUUUCUGAAUAGCCUCUCCAAAGGAGGCCAUCAGAUAUGCACUUAUCUCAGUGAGCAGAGGGGUGACUUUGACUAGAAGGGGAGGGGAGGCAGGUUUGCCCUAAGCAGUUCCCAGCUUUUUUCCCUUUAGUUUAGUGAUUUUUGGGCCCUCAGAUUCAUUUUCCUUUCACAGGCUAAACAGCUUUAGGAACUGAAAGGUUCAUGAAGCUGUAAGGAAGAGUCGAGUUGCUCCAGGUGAGCCUGGGCCACAACAGCAUGCAGGACCUGGGCGCCCAUGAGGGGCUCCUGGGAGGGUUCGGGAAAGGGAGCUGUGAACCCUGACUAUCUGAGAUGGUUUCAGGUGAUUCAGAAAGUUCAUUUUGCCGAGGUUGAGGACGUGCACCCGUGACAGCCUCAGGAGAUCCUGACGACAAGUGCCCGAGGUGGUCGGGGCACAGCUCGGUUUUAGGGAGACAUGAGACGUCAGUCAAUACAUGUCGGAAGUACCUUGCUUCCAUCCAGAAAGGUGGGGACAACUGGAAGCAGGGAGGGGGCUUCCAAGGUCACAGGUAGGUGAGAGACAAACGUUGCGUUGUUUUGAGUUUCUGGUUAGCCUCUCCAAAGGAGGCGAUCGGAUGUGCACCUAUCUUAGUGAGGAGAUAGGUGAUUUGGAAUAGAAUGGGAGGCAGGUUUGCCCUGAGCCGUUCCCAGCUUGACUUUUCCCUUUAGCUUAGUCAUCUUGGGGCCCCUAGAUGUUCUUUUCACAGAGCCUAUGACUAGAUUUGCAUUUUUCGAUCCUGCGAGGAGGCUGCUGCACACAUGCAGAAGUCACGCUGGCGGCCUGGACUCCGAAGGGAGAGAAGUGGAUUUGAGAGACAUUUAGGAGCUCCCUUCAGCCCUGAUCAGCCUGAUGCAGGCGCUGGGCCCUGGUUCUGGAGGUGAGAAUACACCUUGGGCCUCCACUGCAUGGCUGCCCUGUGAGCAUUCGGGUGCUUAUUUGGGGACUGAUACGGAGUCCUGUGCCAGAUGCAGUGGUGCACACCUGGGAACCAAGGGUCUCUGCUUCUACUGGAGAAUCUGGACAGAUGUAAAAGGUGCAAGCGGAGCCGUGCAGUCCUGACUUCUGAGUGGAGCUAGAGGAGAAUUAUGUUAACGUGUUUGCAGUCCUUGCUCAAUUUUUAAAUAUAAAUAUACUUAAGCACCGCUUUUUAUGAGAAUAAAAUAGUUUAACAAUGUUUA